Molecule: RNA transcript, 4857 nt
Organism: Lates calcarifer (barramundi perch)
Lineage: Eukaryota; Metazoa; Chordata; Actinopteri; Centropomidae
Exons: 24
Source: RefSeq, a predicted model, not a curated record
UUUACAUCGCACGGUCAGGUACUGUACAUCUGAUUGGUCGAGAGAAUAGACUGUGUGUCUGUCUGUGGCAUAGACAGUGGUCGAGAGGCAGGAGUGACAGCUUAAAAGGGCGGUCAAUAAAACGCACAGAUUAAAACCUACAAUACUAACAGUUUGCUGCUAAAAUAAGAGUGACCACCGCUGUUACCUUGACCCCUGAGCUGACAACUUAGUUGACCAGAUAAAACAGGAUGACUGCAUUACCAUCCUCCUGCCCUGUACACAUCUGUGUUGUUACCACUGGGGGUGUCCAUGCCCAACUGCACAAAUACACUUUGGAGAGAAAUAUUACCAAGUUGGAGAAACUGCUGAAGAAAGGUGUUGAUGUGGACUGUGUGAAUCACCUGGGUCAGACUCCACUGUUCUGUGCUGCUCUGUUGGGCCAAGAAAAGGUGAUGGAGCUGCUUCUUCAGUAUGGAGCUGACCCCAACCAUCGCUGUGAGGACUGGAGCACCCCAGUUCAUGCAGGUGUAUUCUCCUGUAAUACUUCAGUGGUAAGUAGCUUGCUGGAUGCUGGAGGAGAUCUAAGACUCCAUGAUGGGAAAGGCAGGACCCCCUUUGACUGGCUCAGAGUUGCUAAGCAGGAAGACAGUGCACGGAUGCAAGACUUCCUGGAGAUCUGCACAUCCUCUAUGCAACAGCUGUGUCAGAGCCCAGCCACAAAGAAGCUCUACAGCAGCUCAACCUCCAUGUUGUUACACCCUUUAUCUUUGCUAGAUCGCAUUAAAUCAUGUGGAAAUUACCUGCAGUUCGACAAGAAGACAAACAAGAAGUCUCCCUGCACAACAACCCACUGUUUGGGCUUUGGAAAGGUGUGUGUAAACAAGCCAUGCCAGGUAUUGGCUUUGCCAGCAUCUAUUCCACUGAUCAGAGAGAGUGAUCUGACCAACGCUGAUGAUGGAUCUCUGCUAUCUUUCACCUGUGACUCUUUUACCACCAUGACCAAUUACAACUGGAGAGGCUCCACAGUGACAGUAAAAACAACGAGGGACAGUCACACAGCCUAUUUGGACCUGCUCCUCAUAGAACAAAACUACUGCAGCCAGCUGUUCCACCCACAGCUGCUGCAGCUGUUGGCAGUGAGUCUGACUGAUGACCUCCAGCGGACCAGUCUGGUGUUUGAGCAAGUCACUGUUGGCACACUGCACAACCUGCUGCACAAGAGGCGUGCAGAGUUCCCAGUGCUGCAGGACAGAUGGCUGCUGUCAGUGAUGCUGCAGGUUUGUGAAGGUCUGCAGUACCUCCACAGGGGAGGCCUGGUGAUGAGGGCCCUGUCUUCCCACAGUGUGGUCCUCACAAAAUUCCAAGUAGCCAAACUAACUGGUCUAGGCUUCAUGAUCCCCAGCAGUGAAAAUACAUGUCUCAAAACCCACAAGCAUAUAGUCCUGCCCCCCAGCCUUCACAGAUGGGCUGCUCCAGAGGUCAUUAAACAGCAACCCUGCACAAAGGAGGCUGACAUCUACAGUCUGUGUGCUCUGAUCCAGGAACUCUACACAGACAGGGAGCCAUGGGGCACUGUGAACCUAGAAGGGAAGGUGAUGGAUGCAGGUCAGGCCCUGGCAGCAGAAAGCAGCAUUCCACAGCCUUACUAUGAUGUGGUCCUGAAAGGUCUGCAGCAGCACCCACAGGACCGCACCUGCAGCUUGCAGAGCCUGCACUACACACUACAACAGGAUAUCAAGAGGUUGUCCCUGGAGGAACAGCUGAGUGGUGAGCUGUGUGCCUAUCCAGACCAAGAUCUGGGGCCUGGGGUCCAGACCACAACACAGCAUACCAGUGUGGGAGAACCAGCACAGAGCAUUGUUUGUAGAGCUGUUAAGCCAGUAAUAAUCAAGGCUGACACAGUGGUGGAAAAGCAGACCCACUUGGACAGACAUCUGGACAACCGGCUGUACAGAGGAGUAAAGCCAGGGCAGGGGAGAGAAAGAGAUGAAUGUGCACAGGGAGAAUCAGUGGAACUCUACACUCCUCUUGGAGAGUUUGACUCAGGCAAUGUUGAGGAAGAAGCUGAACCAGAGACAGACAUAGACAGGAAGAUAGUACACCAGCUGGACGUCCUGAAGUUGUCCAAAGUAACAGUAGAUCAGCAGAUCAGCACCACUGUGGUCAACCUAAAAGUGUCACAAGGUCUACUGCAGCAGGCCAACUGGAGCCUAGACACAGUGGAGAACCACCCCCUGCUGGACCGCAGAGGGGAGGGUCAACUGGACUCAGUGACCAGGUUUAGAGAUACUCCUGUCUAUAUCCACACCGUCUCCUCCACAUCGUCCUCCUCUGUCUCCUCCACAAAUCUUUUGGGAGCUGCUGCUGGUCCAAAUUCAAACCAGUACCACCUCUUACUGCACAAGGGAGAUCACUGGGUAAAGAACCUGGAGGCCCAGUUUCUGAGCAGAGAUUGGGAACUGCUGAGCCAGGAGGAGCUGGAUUUAUGGCUGAGUCACUAUCCAGCUCAACAGCAACAGUAUGAGCAAGGCUGGUUGCUGCAACAUUCUUCAGAUUGCUACAUGAUAGAGGGACAUUCAGUGAGUGCAGAUCACAGGACAAAGGAGCUGAGCCAAUACAGAUCAGCUCCUGUCAACAUCCUCUCUGGAAAUAAGCUGGAGACAUCCAGUUUACAAGUAAAUGCAGAAGUGACAGUAGAGGUGUGCAGGCCAGUAGCUAGUGGGAGUCCAUUGCUGGAUAAUCACAACACCAAAUGUGAGAGCUUUCCAAACAUCAGUGAGAAAACAGAUGCUGAUCCUGGUGUCAGUGGAACACAGGCACAGUAUACACCCAACACUAACCUGGCUCAGUCAGACAUGGCUCUGCUGGCUGAACUCUCCAGCAUCACAUACUCUCCAGCUCAGCCUCAGGAGAAACGCAGAAUCUGUGUCAACAGACACGGCCCACCCUGUAAUAGUACCCCCCGCUGCCCAGAUGUACACUGGCGUGUGAUGACAGGUAUUGAUGAGGACAGUCUCCCAGACGUCCCUGCCUGCAGCCCCCUGAGAUCUGCGCAUCUCUGGACUGAAAGUUUCACCACACCAAGAGAAAGCCCAGUCAAAAAUGAGGUCCCGAAGCUUACACUUAUUUUUCAGCCUCCGCCUCUUGAGGUAGACUCUGCCAGCAGUCUCCAGGGCUUCAUCACAGCCAGCCAGCAGGAAGGGCUGUUCCACGAUACCGUAUCUCCCGGCUCCAGUGUCCACAGAUGCUGCAGCACUGUGGAUGGAGAGCACAAAGUACAACUGGAAGAGGAAGGAGAAGGAAGAGUGUCUGAGCAGGAGAACAGUGAAGAGAGGCUAGACAAAAUGGAGGGAACCAAUCAAAGUCAAAGUGUGGAGGAGGGGGAGGAGGAAGAAAAGGAAGCCAGGACAGGAGACGUGCUUGAGGAAAUGGAGAAAGGGUUACAGAUGGUCAAACAGUGCACUAAAGGAGAAGAGGAGGAAGACAAAAGAGGGAAACAUGUUGAAAAAGGCAGCGAGGAAGAGAAGCAUGGCUGGUGUAGCCCACUGAGAGAUGUUGGAUCAGAAGUGAAGGAAGAGGAGGAUGAAGAAGAUCUUGAUGACAGCAGGAAGAAAACAGCAGGAUUAUUUGGCAAUGGUGAAGAAACAGGCGACGACAUGUUUGUUAACAUCAGUGAGCUGGGUGCAGACACAGUCACUGCAGAUCCAGAGAAGAAGAAAGAGCCCAGGGUGUCUCCAGGGUCAUGGCAGAGUCCCAGUUUAUUGGAGGACACCAGCAGAGAUGAGACAGUCCGUCAAAAAGGUCAACCCCCACAAAGCUCCAGGACCAGAUGGUACCCGGGAUUGGCUCUUCGGGUGUCUGCUGAUCACCUAGCAGAGGUGUUCAUCAACAUCUUUAACUUCUUCCUGAGUCAAUCUGUGGUCCUUAGCCUCUUUAAGGGCGUCAACCACUGUUCCUGUUCUCAAGAAACCAAUAACCUGUUUAAAUGACUCGACGCCCGGUCACUCUGACAUCAGUCAUCAUGGACUGCUUUGAGAAACUAGUCAAAACCCACAUCUGCUCCUCUCUUACAUCUUGGACCCAGUUUGCCAUGGCAACACGCAGUGCAUUUAGCCACCUGGACAAACAUACACAUAAAUAUGUGAGAAUUCUCCUCAGUGAUUACAGCUCAGCAUUUCAACACCAUCAAGCCCUCACACUCAUCUCUAAGCUUGUUGAUCUUGGACUGGAGAUCUCUGCAGCUGGAUAUUCGACUUCCUGACAAGCAGGUCAGAGCAGCUAUACUUCCUCCUGUCUGAUCUUCAUCAUGAUUGUACCACAGGGCUGUGUGCUCUGUCCCCUCCAACCACCUCCUGUACUCCCUGUUUACUUACAACUGUACUGCCAACAACCUCUCUCUCAGCAUCAGUACAACUAAACAGAUGAUUGUGAACUACAGGAGACAGCAUGGGUGGACACCUCUUCAGCUUCGAGUUCGUCAGUGUGCACAUCACUGAGGACCUCUCCUGGUUACUACAUAAGAACAUCAUAGUCUAGAAAGCUUACCAGCUCCUCCAGAUAAAUGAGCCCACUCAACACUAGAUGAUUUGCUGCAAGGCUUUGUAGCGGAAGGCACCAGGUCCAGGACCAAGUAAAAAAGCCACCACAGUAACAGUGUUGGAGCAGGACCCGACUCUUUGAGUGCCAGACAUCAAAUGAAAGAAAAAUCUUCUUCUGUCUGCAAAUGCAGUUUUGUUCUGUUACUAGUGUUGCAUUGUCAAAGUUGUUGUUGUUGUUUGUAGUGCACUGUUACUAGUUUGCUGUUUUUCAGCAAGGUCUGUUAAUAUGGAAGACUUAACUUGAGCACCUGCUGAAGCUGGGAAUAAACUGACUGAA